Long non-coding RNA from Dreissena polymorpha, 296 nucleotides. RefSeq lists it as uncharacterized. The record is from RefSeq and is a predicted model, not a curated record. The transcript has 3 exons. NCBI's taxonomy places the organism in Eukaryota, Metazoa, Mollusca, Bivalvia, Myida, Dreissenidae.
AGAUCCGCUGUAUCUUCAAACAAUCCCAGGAACGUUCAGGGCCCUCAAAGACGUGAAUGUUGGUACUAUAGCUGUCGUCCCUAGUCUUUCCUUCGAGGAAACAGUCUCUGGUGGAAUCACAACAUAUACACCUAUCUCAAUUUUCAAAUGUGACUUUGUGAUGGACAAGUAUUUCUAUAAAGUCAACUGGACUAUACAUGGAGAACAAAUCCACUCUCUCGAGCAGAAUACAUCCGUUGGGACACAUUUCGAAGUUUCAGAAUCACACUUGUUUGAGAUGAACAUUUCAAUGCCAU